AAGUCGUAACAAGGUUUCCGUAGGUGAACCUGCGGAAGGAUCAUUACGUAUGGUAGGCCGGUCUGACCGGUUCUAUUCAACCCUGUUUUUUGCGCACCCUUUGUUUCCUCGGCAGGCUUGCCUGCCAGUAGGACCUUUUCAACCCUUCGUGUCAAAGCAAUCAGCGUCAAACAAACAAAACAAUUGUAACAACUUUCAACAACGGAUCUCUUGGUUCUG
This 219-nucleotide unclassified non-coding RNA is filed under the name fungal sp. Its description in RNAcentral is "partial internal transcribed spacer region". The stretch from base 1 to 46 matches the Rfam family "Eukaryotic small subunit ribosomal RNA", at positions 1786 to 1831 of the family's 1831-position model. Lineage: Eukaryota; Fungi. The record is from RNAcentral.